Molecule: ribosomal RNA, 253 nt
Filed under: uncultured bacterium
Lineage: Bacteria
Description: partial 16S ribosomal RNA
Rfam family: Bacterial small subunit ribosomal RNA
Source: RNAcentral
UACGUAGGGCGCAAGCGUUGUCCGGAAUUAUUGGGCGUAAAGAGCUCGUAGGCGGCUUGUCACGUCGGGUGUGAAAGACCGGGGCUUAACCCCGGUUCUGCAUUCGAUACGGGCUGGCUAGAGUGUGGUAGGGGAGAUCGGAAUUCCUGGUGUAGCGGUGAAAUGCGCAGAUAUCAGGAGGAACACCGGUGGCGAAGGCGGAUCUCUGGGCCAUUACUGACGCUGAGACGCGAAAGCGUGGGGAGCGAACAGG